UNCUCAUUUCUUCUGGUCAAAAGACUAGCAUU
Molecule: non-coding RNA, 32 nt
Filed under: Mus musculus (house mouse)
Lineage: Eukaryota; Metazoa; Chordata; Mammalia; Rodentia; Muridae
Source: RNAcentral